This 391-nucleotide unclassified non-coding RNA is filed under the name soil metagenome. Its description in RNAcentral is "partial contains 5.8S ribosomal RNA, internal transcribed spacer 2, and large subunit ribosomal RNA". The stretch from base 1 to 122 matches the Rfam family "5.8S ribosomal RNA", at positions 35 to 154 of the family's 154-position model. The record is from RNAcentral.
GAUGAAGAACGUAGCGAAAUGCGAUACUUGGUGUGAAUUGCAGAAUCCCGUGAACCAUCGAGUCUUUGAACGCAAGUUGCGCCCGAAGCCAUUAGGCCGAGGGCACGCCUGCCUGGGCGUCACACGUCGUUGCCCCCCCAUCUACUCCUUCGGGAUUGCGGGGGGCGGAUGAUGGCCUCCCGUGCGCCUCGCCGCGCGGUUGGCAUAAAUGCCAAGUCCUCGGCGACGCACGCCACGACAAUCGGUGGUUGCGAAACCUCGGUUGCCCGUCGUGUGCGGUCGUCGCGCAUCGAGGGCUCGAAAAAAUUGCCGGGCUCCGGCUCGGCUUUCAACGCGACCCCAGGUCAGGCGGGGUUACCCGCUGAAUUUAAGCAUAUCAAUAAGCGGAGGA